Molecule: long non-coding RNA, 628 nt
Filed under: Lepidothrix coronata (blue-crowned manakin)
Lineage: Eukaryota; Metazoa; Chordata; Aves; Passeriformes; Pipridae
Description: lncRNA (ENSLCOG00000005422.1)
Source: RNAcentral
CCCCCCUUCGUUAAGUUCCGCCACCACUUCGGCAACUUCCGCCGGUUCGGUCGGAAAUGGCCGAAGACGUGCGAGACCCAGCGGUUUAAGGGGAGAAGACCGGCCGGCUUCUCGGAACAAACCAACUGUGUCCGGCCCGGAGGGGGGGGAGCAGGGGAGGGCGGACGGAGCGGGAAGACAAGGCAGCGGCUAUGGCUCCCCCCCCAGCCCCUCGCGGCUCCGCCGGGAGGGCGAAGUGAGGGCGCCGAGAGGCUCCAGACAGAUGAGUAGGGAGCUGGCUACAGAAGAGGAACAGAUUCCAGUUUUCCAGCUGGUCACCCUGUACAGAGAAAACCCCUCGAGAUCAAAGCUGGGAGAAAGAAGACAAGUGGUGGAGGAGUCAAUGUGUGACAUGGAACAGGUCUGAGCCGAGGAGCUGAGGGACAGUGCUGGUCAGAGAGACUUGGCAGCAGAAACUGUCUAUCCAAGCCUGCAGAGAUAAAGCACAGCAGCCACUGACACUCCCUGACGUCCUUCUCCGUUUGUCGGGAGGGAGCCGACAGGACACAGGUGGGUUCAUUCUCCACGGAAAAGGCCAUCAAAGCAGGACUUUGUGGGGGUGACACAGCAGCAGUAGCACUGCAGAGCC